UAAAAAUAGGAAACACACAGACACACAAGUAUAUAUCACUGUGAGUAUACUGUAAAUUCUUGUUUUUUCUUCUUUCUGUUUCUUAAAUAUACUAAGAUAAUUCUCACGAGUUACUCCUCUCUGCUAGAACACUAGUAUUUCCACUCAAAUUCACCUUCUUAAAAAGACCUAUUAAACUACCAAUUAUAUGUUCACCAUUUCGGUAAUGGCUAUGCUAGAAGCCCAAUCUCCACCAGAAUGCAAUAUACCCAGGUAACAAACAUGCACCAAGUACUCCCUGAAUCUAAAAUAAAAUUAAAUUUAAAAUUUAAAAAUUAAGGCCGGGCAUGGUGGCUCACGCCUGUAAUCCUGGCACUUUGGGAGGCUGAGAUGGGUGGAUCACUUGAACUCAGGAGUUGUAGAGCAGUCUGGCCAAUGUGAUGAAACCCCGUCUCUACUAAAAAUACAAAAAUUAGCCGGGUGUGGUGG
This 468-nucleotide long non-coding RNA is filed under the name Homo sapiens (human). Its description in RNAcentral is "HSALNT0197923". The record is from RNAcentral. Lineage: Eukaryota; Metazoa; Chordata; Mammalia; Primates; Hominidae.